GCACGUCUAUCAAAAUUCGGGCGCCCUCCCCUCCUAGCGUUCAAAGGACCACCCCCUCCUGUCGGCUAGGAAGGGAACAACUGUCUGUCUAUCUUAGGCAGCGCAUGUGAUGAUUGGAGGAUAUCCCACCAGGUCUUCCCGCCUCCUUCCGGCCAGCUCCGCCUUGAAGCUUCCCGGCGGGCUCCGCGCUAAGCGGAUGUCGAGAGACUCUGCUGUGGAUCAUUAAGAUGGCCCGCCUCUCCGUCGCCGCAAUUAGCUGAGCAAAACGUGACGUUGCAGGGCUCUUGUUCCAGUCCCUUCGAGAGACUGGCCAAGAACGACAGGGACCAUUGGCCCACAAGGAGGUAGGCGGGGCUUUGGGCGGAAGCGAUUGGCUCCCAGGAACAUCAGUCAUCAACGUUCGGUGGCUUCUCCGGAACUGGGGCGCGUGGGCGAGCUAGGGGAAAAUGCCGAGUCGCUGUGAGUAGAUGUGGAGGCGUUCUCAUCAGGGGUCCUGAAACUUGUCAGGAGUCGUAGUGAAUGUCAGUGCGAUGAGCCAUAACCUUGUACUGGACUGUGCCGAGUUCUGAAGACCUGUGGCCUCCUAGUCCUUUGCAUGAAACACCCAUCUCCCUUUGUUUGGCCAACUCCCACGCGGCAAUUUGGACUCCAUCUCCUCCAGGAAGUUUCCCUGGAUCUGCAGAAAGUUACUCCUGGCCUGAAGAUGGAUGCCAAUUGCUGGGCCUCCUCGUGCUCAGAUGACCUUCUUCCUUCCGACUCCUAACACUGUUUAGUGUGCGUGUGCGUGCGUGUGUCAAGUCUUGAGCGGCAAGCACUGCACCAUCUGCUGCACACGUAAGGUAUCUGGUGUGAGGCAGAGUCUCAUGGUACAGCCUGCCUUUGUCUCCAAAGUGCUGGGAUUUAAGGCUUGUGUAAACUUCUUCCAGCCAGUAUGAUUUUUCUUUUUGUUUUUUCGAGACAGAAUUUCUCUGGCUGUCCUGGAACUCGGAGAUCCUCCUGUCUCUGCCUCCCAAGCGCUGAGAUUAAAAGUGUGCGCUACCAUU
Cricetulus griseus (Chinese hamster) is the source of this 1043-nucleotide non-coding RNA. NCBI's taxonomy places the organism in Eukaryota, Metazoa, Chordata, Mammalia, Rodentia, Cricetidae. The record is from RefSeq and is a predicted model, not a curated record.